UACGUAGGGUGCGAGCGUUGUCCGGAAUUAUUGGGCGUAAAGAGCUCGUAGGCGGUCUGUCGCGUCGGUCGUGAAAACUUGGGGCUUAACCCUGAGCUUGCGGUCGAUACGGGCAUGACUGGAGUUCGGCAGGGGAGACUGGAAUUCCUGGUGUAGCGGUGAAAUGCGCAGAUAUCAGGAAGAACACCAAUGGCGAAAGCAGCUCUCUGGGACGGUACUGACGCUGAGACGCGAAAGCGUGGGGAGCGAACAGG
Molecule: ribosomal RNA, 254 nt
Filed under: uncultured bacterium
Lineage: Bacteria
Description: partial 16S ribosomal RNA
Rfam family: Bacterial small subunit ribosomal RNA
Source: RNAcentral